AUUGAACGCUGGCGGCAGGCCUAACACAUGCAAGUCGAGCGGAUGAAGGGAGCUUGCUCCUGGAUUCAGCGGCGGACGGGUGAGUAAUGCCUAGGAAUCUGCCUGGUAGUGGGGGAUAACGUCCGGAAACGGGCGCUAAUACCGCAUACGUCCUGAGGGAGAAAGUGGGGGAUCUUCGGACCUCACGCUAUCAGAUGAGCCUAGGUCGGAUUAGCUAGUUGGUGGGGUAAAGGCCUACCAAGGCGACGAUCCGUAACUGGUCUGAGAGGAUGAUCAGUCACACUGGAACUGAGACACGGUCCAGACUCCUACGGGAGGCAGCAGUGGGGAAUAUUGGACAAUGGGCGAAAGCCUGAUCCAGCCAUGCCGCGUGUGUGAAGAAGGUCUUCGGAUUGUAAAGCACUUUAAGCUGGGAGGAAGGGCAGUAAGUUAAUACCUUGCUGUUUCGACGUUACCAACAGAAUAAGCACCGGCUAACUUCGUG
RNAcentral lists this ribosomal RNA (484 nucleotides) under uncultured bacterium. Its description in RNAcentral is "partial 16S ribosomal RNA". It matches the Rfam family "Bacterial small subunit ribosomal RNA", at positions 30 to 507 of the family's 1533-position model. The record is from RNAcentral.